This 263-nucleotide ribosomal RNA is filed under the name uncultured bacterium. Its description in RNAcentral is "partial 16S ribosomal RNA". It matches the Rfam family "Bacterial small subunit ribosomal RNA", at positions 793 to 1055 of the family's 1533-position model. The record is from RNAcentral.
GUCCACGCCGUAAACGAUGGGUGCUAGGUGUGGGCGGUGUCGACUCCGUCCGUGCCGAAGCUAACGCAUUAAGCACCCCGCCUGGGGAGUACGGCCGCAAGGCUAAAACUCAAAGGAAUUGACGGGGGCCCGCACAAGCAGCGGAGCAUGUGGUUUAAUUCGACGCGACGCGAAGAACCUUACCAGGGCUUGACAUGCACCGGAAUGUCGUAGAAAUACGGCAGCCCUUCGGGGCCGGUGCACAGGUGGUGCAUGGCUGUCGU